CCUCUAAUGCCCUUCCACGCCCAAAUUUUAUCUCUUAUUGAUCCUGCCAUCAUCCAAUUGGUGCUUAAAAGCCCAUAAAUCAUAGUCCAAAGUUUGUAUACCACAUGACACCACAUCAAUACGCAAUUACAAACUCCUCUACCCCUUUUACAAAAAUAAUAAGCAUUCACUAAUAUAUUGCCCCGUCUCAUCAAUUUGUCCAUUGUCAGAAUGCCAACCUCUUAGUUAAAAAAGGUACACACGACGGAACUCUAGCUUUCCAAAUAUGUCUAAACGGAAAAACAAAACUAUUGUCUUCAUACUUGAACAACUACUUGUAGAACGACUUGAUUGUGAAUGCCCUAUUCGUUGUAAGGCACCCCUAUAACUUGUCAUUACUGUUGUCCAGAUUCACAAGGGAAAGAGUGCUUAACAGUCUCUAGCAUUCACUAAACUCCGAGUCAUUAAGAUUUCUCAACACGAAACCUAUUAUUCCUUCUCUCCUCCGCCCACUUCCACGAAAGAGUCACAGAUCUUGACAUCUUUCUGUUGCGCUAUGGCAUAAAUUUGAGGAUACUGCUCUCUAUGGGUACCACCUUCCAACCACUGAUCCUCCUAUAGUCUGAAUUUGUCCGCCUCACUAACCUUUCACCUGAUGCGCACCUCAAGGUUAUCUCGGCUAGUACCUAUCUUUUUCUACAAGUCUUCCCAUGUGGUCUUAAUCCCACUAUGGUGAACCACCUUUUCAUCUGUACCAAAUUUUGUUGCUACCACUCUUCUCCAAAGCACAUUUUCCUUUGUCAAAAACCUCUACAACCACUUAUCCUGCAAAGCAUCACUCAUCUCCACCAGGGACUGCAAUCCCAAACCACCUAGAGAUAGUUUUUUUGAGCUCAUUCUAUGUCACCAAAUGAUAUCUUCUUCUACCCUCCAUGUUACCCCAUAAGAACCUGCUUUGAAUAGCUUCUAACGUCUUGGUCACACUCAUCGGAAUGGUCAACAGGGACAUAUAGUAAAUACGAAAGUUACCCAAUGUGCUCUUAAUGACCAUGAGUCUUCCCCUUUAGAAAGGAUGGCUCUCUUACACCCUGCUAACCUACGUUCAAACCUACCACCACCUGUUCCCACGUCCUCGCUUCUUUAAAAUCGGCACCAAGGGGAACCCUGAAUAUUUGAUUGGUAGAUUGAAAAUCCUACAAACAAAAACCCGUGCAAGGCCAUUUGAAUCUCCCUCAAACCUCAUUCUCACCAUCUCUGCAGUAGCAAGAUUGAUACUAAAUCUCUAGACUGCUUGAAAACCCAUCAAAACACACUUGAUUUUAAGGAUAGCUCUCCUCUAUGGCUCAUAGAAAAACAUAGCAUCAUUAGCAAAAAACAAGUGUGUAAUAUCUUCAACCUUAUCCCCCACACCUACUUUUAAACUU
This 1403-nucleotide long non-coding RNA is filed under the name Carica papaya (papaya). RNAcentral describes it as "long non-coding RNA (CPAP_LNC006300)". Lineage: Eukaryota; Viridiplantae; Streptophyta; Magnoliopsida; Brassicales; Caricaceae. The record is from RNAcentral.